GAAAACACUGAUUUUUGCAUUAACAUUGAUAUUGAAUGAAGGAAAUUAAUGACCUUUUCUUUACCUAUUUGAAGUAAAACACAAACCUUCGAUGUGCUAUAUACAAGGUACUAAUUCAACCCUGUUACUUGUCUGUGCUGCUUGUGUAAGGUUGAGAAGUGAAUAAGCAACUGAAAGGAAGAAGAUAAUUCUUGGGUACAUUUUGCAUGACGGCUAUAUUAUCUUUCCUCAUAGUUCAAAUGGUACUUUUCCCUGAUUCACAUAUUUUGUCUAGGCUGUCGACAUCGAAUCGCUUUGGUGCUAACACUUACCCCUAUAAACCGCAAAAUGCAGUUCAAAGUUGUGAGGGCUGAACUUGAAACUUUUGAGAAGGUGACCAUGGAAUUGGGAUAACUUGAAGUUCCUUUUUCCAAACAAGUUGUAGAACUAAAUGAUCUGCUUGUGUGAUUGCACAGAGGAUAAUUUAUAUAAUUACCUUUUAACACAUCAUCUGGUCUAUUGUUUUGGGUAUUAAGAAUCAGCUUGAAAUCUUUUUAGUUGGCCAUGAUAGUUCUAGAACAAUUGAAGAAUCGGCCUGAAGUAAUCAAAAGCUGGAGAUUUCAUCUUUAUGUAAGAACUAGAAGGCAAGGAGAUACAUUUUGGGUGAACUCAACAACAUUGCCAGGAAACUUCCAAUAUGUAUAUUACCAAUUUUAAUUUUUCCAUUAUAUGUUUUUAUCCAAUUUGCAAAAUACUUGCAUAGCUUUAAGUUUUUUAAAUGUGACGCACAGUGCAUAUGGAAUCAAAUCUCUUUGAGAUUGCAUGAGAUUUAGUUAUGCCAGCACUCAAACUAAAAAAAAAAUGUCACAACUGCUUGACCAUUAUAAGUUACUUUAUGCUGAAUGCAUCUUCUCUUUUGUAACAAUGGUUGUUAUAUUUACUGACUCACCACUCAAUAAGAAUUUUGUGUACUCGAUAGGUAAGAAUUCUUUUGAAGCAUAUAUUUUUAUUACAUUUCUUUCUAUUAUAAUUUUGUAGAGUGGCUCUAAACUUGGUAAUUUUUGGAACCAUCUCUUUCCUUUCGGAGAAAGAUCAAGUAAUGUUAGUUUUUUCUUUUAAUAAAAUGAGAAAUUUAUUGAUAUGACUAAUUUACAUAAGAGGGGAGAUAAAUUAAACUUUACCUCCCUAAGAUACAUAUGUAAAUCAAAAGAGUGCACUUUAAGUGGUACAAGGUUAAUCCUUGGAUCCCCAUAAGCUUUAAAACUGAUUUUGGAGUGGCUUCUGCAAUAAAAGAUGUUGCAGUUAAUUAUGAAAAAUCCUCCUCUUAUUGCUUAUUGAAAUUUAUAUUAUUGUGUGCACUUACUGUCUGCUCCACCAAGUUGAUUCACUGCUUCUACAAACAUCUGAUGAAGGUCUGGUGUCCAUUUCAAAUUUUGAUUAGAGGAAGUGCCAACUGAAUAUGUAAUUAUUUUCUUAAAAGGUGAUCAGAUGAGUGUGGCUUGUGGUUACUAUUGUUAGAAACGCCAUAUUAGUGCUUGUAUGUUUAAUUUCGAUAAUUUAAAACAGAUGCCAAAUUAGAUUGUUAUUGAUGUUGCAGUUAUGUCUAUGCUUUGUGAUGAUAUGAGUUUCAGAUAGCUGGUUGCUACAGUUCUACUGAGUGCUAAGAAAAGUACAUAUGGAGGGUGGUUUAAAUUCUAAACAGUCAAUUGACACUUUAUAUUUCCUCCUUUCACUCAGUAAUCAAGUAGUCUCAGCUGUUGAACUGAGCAACCAUUUUGCUGAUAUUAGGUUCAUCCGGCUACCGGCUACCAGCUACAAGGUAUGUUAAGACGACAGAUUUUACUUUGAGGUAGUGCUUUAUAUUUUAAUCUUCGAGCUUUGAAUUGGUGAACAAAGGAAUAUUACUUUUCCAGAAUGCCUCUGUUAUGUUAUAUUAGUUUCUCUAUAUGAAAAUAACUGAAGGUUACGUUCCAUUACUCUUUAACUCUGUUUUUACUUUCUAGAGGGAGUCUAGGCAAUGGUUUUGAAGCUGAAAAGUCCUAUUAUUCGCCUUCAAUAGUUUUUGGCUAUGUUCCAUCGGAAGGUUAAUGAUUUUCUUUCAUUCCUCUCUUAGCUAUUAGCCCCUUCUAUUUGACCUGAUUAUUGGCUUGAUUUGAUCAUUUUUUUCAAUGGUUUACUGUUUCAGUCAUGAGUUCUAUGAUUCUUUUUUGUUAGUACAGAUAGGGGAAACGAAGAUGCUAACUACUUUUGCUGCUUUGUGUUGCCUGUAUUAUAAUUAUUUGUUUGGCUGCUUGAUGUUCUGUUAUGUUUGAGUAGCUGUAGAAAAUCAUCAAAAUUAUUUAGAAAAUGGCAAUGGCAGGAACAAAACAAAAAGGAUGCUUGCUAAAACUCUAAUCUACGAGCUCAAAGUAUGUAUUUUUAAGGAAUCUAUAACUAGAUGUGGCUGAUGGCACAAUGCUUACAUUGAGCAUUAUUCUUUGAAGUUUUAAGGUUCUCUCGUUAUAGUUCUUUCAUAUGAAUUUUCUUUAUUUAAAUUUUGAUUUUGAGUGUGAUCCUAAGUUUGCCCGCUACCUAAACGAGUCUGUUAAGCAUUAUGUUUACCUAAAGGUGAGAUAUCUGAUAAUGUGCAUCAGUAUAAGACUCUAGAGGUCCAAAGCUUGUCACAACAGUUACUUGGUGACAAGGGGGUGAAAAUGCUUCUCAGAAAGUAAUGGCAGUUUCAUGAACCUGACAAGAUAUGUUCGAGUUAAUUGCUCUUGGUUUGGUUGAUAUUAUUUAUUUUGCGUCAAUGAAGUGUUGCAUAUGGUAAUUUAUUUUACUUUUGUAGUUUUAGAAGGAUUUUGAGGUUUUCCCUUUGAAAUUGGGUUUUUCAAAAUUUAAUUAAAGUCUCCUUUUAGAGAUGUACAGGCAAAUUGAAAGAUUGAAUCUGACAUGAAUAUUGACGAUUAAUCAGAAUCUUCUGCGCUGACAGAGAUUAGAUUCAGCUGUUACGGCGAGUAAGUAUAAUAUCCUACUAUUGGAUAUAGUUUUAUUUUUUAUGCAUAUUGGUUGUUUCUUUUUUCGUUUGAUAUCUGGGUUCUUCAUCGUCCUUUAGAAAAUGGCAUCACAGGUGACAGGUGCUCUUGAUUAGAGAAAGAUCAGGGGGUGCUAAUGAUGCACAUAAAAUAUCUGAUAAAAUGUCCUGCAAGAAAAUAGUGUCUACUGCAUCAGGAGAUGGCUCUACAAUAGUUGUUGAUACCUUGAAAUAAUACAUAGAGAUGAUAUAGAUAUGCCAGAUAUGUUCUCUUACUUUCUUAUACUACUUGGACCUUAGGGAGCUGCUCUAUUAUUAGCUAAAGAAAUAGAUAAGGAGAAGCUUAUUUUUCUGUUGUUGCAUGUCUAUGUCUUUGUUAUUUGCUUUGCAACUUGAACUAUUUUGAUGUGUGAUUUCCGUAGGAAUGUGCAACCGUGGUAGUAUCAAUUAUCCUCAAGUCCAAUAGAAAUUUCACCUUAACUUCUAUUUGCAUACAAGACAAUUGUUUGUGGAUCUCUUUUUCUUCUGAGAUUAAUUAUGAUUUGUGGGUCAAUACUCAGGACAUGUUUAUGUCAAAUAAUAAAAUGUAUAAUGGUGAUUAUUCUUGGUAUAAAGGAUGAAAAUAAAGAACUGAAAAAGAAUAAGAAAGACAAUAUUUAGACUACAUAGGAGUAAGAACCUUUUACAUUUACAUGCUUGGACCAUUUCACAUAUUAGAAUUGCAUUGAGAGUUGAUAAAAGUGCACAUAAAUCCUAUGCUGAGAAUUUUAAAAAUUAAUUGAAGAGUGCCCGUGUCAUAGUUCUUUCAUGUUUUAAAAGGUAGAAUAGGGGUGUGCUGCAAUUUUGAAAAGCUGGAAGACAAAACGUGGAAGAACAAUGCUCCACAAGAAUGCUCAAAGAGUUCUUCCUUCAAUAGUCUUCACAUAAGCAAUAAACAAGACACAUCCUUAUGACCGAUUAGGCUCUUACUGGUACAAUUUUGCAGGUGGUUAGGUAUCAGAUAUUCUCGAUAAUUUGACCUUUUCUUUUUGGAAUUUCGGAGGAUUCAAGUGACCAAAUUAAUGAUGCUAUUGAAAGGUUCCCAAGAGUUAAGUUUGUUGCUGGAGCUUUUGAGUACCCUCCGAGUUAUAAGUCAUUGUUGGAUAUUGUUUGUUGUGAAGUAUGUUUAUAUUGUCUCUUGUCAUCUGUAACUUUAUUUCCUUUCCUCUAUCUUAUUUUGUUGAAUUCUUUAACUGAACUUUAGAAUUCAAUAAAGAACUAGAUCGAGGAACUCCAAAUUGCUUAAAAUGAAACUGAAAAUCCUCUCAAGGAAGAGCAAACUGAAUAUAGAGGUUUACAUCUUCUUUUAGAUUAGACUUCUGGUUGCUCGUAGUUUCAUGAGAAACAUUAGGAAUUCAUUAUCUGCUGCAAGAUAAAAGUCAAUUACAGUUACAUGCUCUUUUCUUUGCAGUUAGUUAGAGCUGCAUGGUCUUUUUAUGCUUCGUACCUGCGAUUAGAUUUAGACAUGGAUUUGAAUAAUGUCCUCUAGCUCUAUUGCAGAACACAUUGAUAUGAUUUUUUACUUCUAAUAGUUUUCAAGCUUCUAUUACCUUCUGAUAUGUUGCAUGCUUAGAUUAAAUUUACUUGGACUGUGAAAGAUUGUUGUUUCCAUUUGUUGUAUCAUAAUUAAAACAAAUUUUAUAAGGAUGCUUAAUAACUAAGAUUGGUAGAUACGUUUUAGACUUUUAGUUGAUUUGGACUGUGAAGGAACCAAACUUAUGUUCAAACUUAAGUUGAGAUAGUACCUUAUAUUGGGUAUCUAACAAUAAAUAGUUUUAUAUACUUGAGAGAUAGACGACUCAAACUAGGAUGUGAAGUGUUUCAUAAUAACCGAUUAGAGAGGAAGAGUUGAUUGGAAACUCUCUCUUCGAUUUACCAUCUAACACUUCAUAUCUGCUGCUAAUCGAGUUCAUUUUGUGGGAACGCGAUCAAGGGAUGGGUUUUUCUAUCCACAAUUGAUUUACUUCCUGAAAAAUCUUCUAAUGAGCCAAGGUGGCAGAAAGCACAACUUACGCAGGCAAAGAAGAAUCUGAGAUGCGUUUUUGAAGUCAUGAUGAUGAUGAGAAUGGUAGUGGGCAGGUUGUCUAUCAGUACUAGAAAAGACACGUUAAAGGCACUUGAUGCGGUGGAAAAUAUAUUAGCAGAUUUUGUUGUCAUGAAAGAGUUUCAUCCAGCAACAACUUACUUUUGUUAUCAACCACAACUGCUGAAUUUGUUAUCAGUUACAACUACCAAAAUUCAAAUUCCAUGCCACUGUAACAUAUCUCAUACAUAUGUUGGUCCACCUAUAAUUCACUAUUUCUGUCUUUCUAAGAAGCUCACUGUAUAACUUUGUUCCCCAAACGAAUAUAAUAUACUAUGAAGCAUAA
Lycium barbarum (goji berry) is the source of this 5400-nucleotide long non-coding RNA. RefSeq lists it as uncharacterized. The record is from RefSeq and is a predicted model, not a curated record. The transcript has 5 exons. NCBI's taxonomy places the organism in Eukaryota, Viridiplantae, Streptophyta, Magnoliopsida, Solanales, Solanaceae.